UGGGGAAUAUUGCACAAUGGGCGCAAGCCUGAUGCAGCCAUGCCGCGUGUAUGAAGAAGGCCUUGGUUGUAAAGUACUUUCAGCGGGGAGGAAGGCGCUGCGGUUAAUAACCGCGGCGAUUGACGUUACCCGCAGAAGAAGCACCGGCUAACUCCGUGCCAG
This 162-nucleotide ribosomal RNA is filed under the name uncultured bacterium. Its description in RNAcentral is "partial 16S ribosomal RNA". It matches the Rfam family "Bacterial small subunit ribosomal RNA", at positions 355 to 511 of the family's 1533-position model. The record is from RNAcentral.